This 1342-nucleotide ribosomal RNA is filed under the name metagenome. Its description in RNAcentral is "bacterial SSU rRNA". It matches the Rfam family "Bacterial small subunit ribosomal RNA", at positions 162 to 1498 of the family's 1533-position model. The record is from RNAcentral.
GCUAAUACCGCAUAUUCUGUGAGCAGGAAAGCAGGGGAUCGCAAGACCUUGCGCUGAUUGAGCGGCCGAUAUCAGAUUAGCUUGUUGGUGAGGUAAAAGCUCACCAAGGCGACGAUCUGUAGCGGGUCUGAGAGGAUGAUCCGCCACACUGGAACUGAGACACGGUCCAGACUCCUACGGGAGGCAGCAGUGGGGAAUUUUUGACAAUGGGGGCAACCCUGAUCCAGCCAUGCCGCGUGAGUGAAGAAGGCCUUCGGGUUGUAAAGCUCUUUCAGCCGGGAAGAAAACGCAUGGGUUAAUACCCUGUGUGGAUGACGGUACCGGAAUAAGAAGCACCGGCUAACUACGUGCCAGCAGCCGCGGUAAUACGUAGGGUGCGAGCGUUAAUCGGAAUUACUGGGCGUAAAGCGUGCGCAGGCGGUUUUGUAAGACAGGCGUGAAAUCCCCGGGCUUAACCUGGGAACUGCGUUUGUGACUGCAAGGCUAGAGUACGGCAGAGGGGGGUGGAAUUCCACGUGUAGCAGUGAAAUGCGUAGAGAUGUGGAGGAACACCAAUGGCGAAGGCAGCCCCCUGGGUCGAUACUGACGCUCAUGCACGAAAGCGUGGGUAGCAAACAGGAUUAGAUACCCUGGUAGUCCACGCCCUAAACGAUGUCAACUAGGUGUUGGGAGGGUAAAACCUUUUAGUACCGGAGCUAACGCGUGAAGUUGACCGCCUGGGGAGUACGGCCGCAAGGUUAAGACUCAAAGGAAUUGACGGGGACCCGCACAAGCGGUGGAUGAUGUGGAUUAAUUCGAUGCAACGCGAAAAACCUUACCUACCCUUGACAUGCCAAGAACUUUCCAGAGAUGGAUUGGUGCCCGAAAGGGAACUUGGACACAGGUGCUGCAUGGCUGUCGUCAGCUCGUGUCGUGAGAUGUUGGGUUAAGUCCCGCAACGAGCGCAACCCUUGUCGUUAAUUGCCAUCAUUUAGUUGGGCACUUUAACGAGACUGCCGGUGACAAACCGGAGGAAGGUGGGGAUGACGUCAAGUCCUCAUGGCCCUUAUGGGUAGGGCUUCACACGUCAUACAAUGGUCGGUACAAAGGGUCGCCAAGCCGCGAGGUGGAGCCAAUCCCAGAAAGCCGAUCGUAGUCCGGAUCGCAGUCUGCAACUCGACUGCGUGAAGUCGGAAUCGCUAGUAAUCGUGGAUCAGAAUGUCACGGUGAAUACGUUCCCGGGUCUUGUACACACCGCCCGUCACACCAUGGGAGCGGGUUCCGCCAGAAGUAGGUAGCCUAACCGCAAGGAGGGCGCUUACCACGGCGGGGUUCGUGACUGGGGUGAAGUCGUAACAAGGUA